CCUGGUGGCUCAAACAGUAAAGAAUCUGCCUGCAAUGCAGGAGACCCAGGUUCAAUCCCUGGGUCAGGA
This is a non-coding RNA of Bos taurus (domestic cattle), 69 nucleotides long. The record is from Rfam. Lineage: Eukaryota; Metazoa; Chordata; Mammalia; Artiodactyla; Bovidae.